RNA transcript from Lycium ferocissimum, 1224 nucleotides. RefSeq lists it as uncharacterized. The record is from RefSeq and is a predicted model, not a curated record. The transcript is spliced from 4 exons. Lineage: Eukaryota; Viridiplantae; Streptophyta; Magnoliopsida; Solanales; Solanaceae.
UAAAGAAACAGUUACUUCAAUUUUAACUGAGAAAGAAACCUGCGCAGUAAAAGUAUGAAACCCGCGAUCUUGCAACUCAUGUUCCACCAACCCACGUUCAAAAUCCACGAAACACUUAUAAUUCACAUUUUUUGUGAUCAGAUCGGCAUAAAAUAUUUGCUUUGUUUUUGUUCUUCUGCGGUCGUAUCCUGUGGAUCUCUUUGAUUCUCCAAAAUCAAUUUAUCAUGCAUGAAAGGGGCCUAAAAUAGAGCGGGGCAUAACUAUGUUGCUGUCUAUCAGUCUAGACGACGGAGGACCACUGCCACCGGCGGCUAAAGCAGCACAUGAACUUGGCUUCUGGUCAGUCUUUUGUGGAUAGUUAUUUAUGUGCAGACAUGGCCAUUAAUCCCCCGCCAUCUGCUCCACAGGGUCUAUGGGACUUGCUUUGCAGACACCGCUUCUCUCAUUUGUACACCAGCAUAUACUGCUAUUGUAUGAUUAUGUGAUGAGGCCUAUAACUUUCUGACAGCUUCUUUCGUAAAUAUUUUUUAUGAUUGAGAAAUUCCUUCCUUUUAGUUAGAAUUUUUUUUGUAGAACUCCUAUGACAAUGCUAUGUAGGAUAGCCAGAUGAUUGCAGUUAUCUGUUUAAGUUGUUGCUGGCAUUUAGUUAUACAACAAAAAAAAUAAAUUGUGAGGGGCGUUGAUUUUACCCUGCAUAUUAAACAACUCUACUGGGUCGAAAUGAGGAUGGGAGAAUGGUUAUGAACUUGUGGAUUUACUGAAUGUAUCUCACUGUUAUUGUGUUAUAACUUGGUAAGUAGAUGUCUAAUUUCUUGGAAGUGUUCGUGCACUUACUACGACGUCAAAGCACUGGGUUUUCUAGAGGAAGCUCGAAAUACAGGGGAGUCACGUUGCACAAAUAUGGACAAUGGGAAACUCGGAUGGGACAGUUUCUCAGAAAGAAGUGACUAACCCCUUAUCACACCAUAGCUUGAGAAUAUCAUAAUAUCAUUGACAUAGCUUUUCAAAAGCUUUCUUGAUAUAUUAUGAUGUCAUUAUACAAAUUUAUAAGAGUAGAUACCAGUAUCAUUCUCACAUUUAAGGUAUACUCUUUGUCAAAUUUGGUGAACCAUUUUGAAUUAUUGUCGAGUCGUAAAUGUAGAGUAGAAGUACAACCAGAUCUGUGAGGGAUUUGAAGACAUAUAAAGGAACUAUAUCUCUUAUUAAUUAACCUCGACAUGGAGG